Molecule: ribosomal RNA, 253 nt
Filed under: uncultured bacterium
Lineage: Bacteria
Description: partial 16S ribosomal RNA
Rfam family: Bacterial small subunit ribosomal RNA
Source: RNAcentral
UACGUAGGGGACAAGCGUUGUCCGGAUUUAUUGGGCGUAAAGAGCGUGUAGGCGGCCUGAAAGGUCAGCUGUGAAAACUCGAGGCUCAACCUCGAGACGUCGGUUGAAACCAUCUGGCUAGAGUCCGGAAGAGGAGUGUGGAAUUCCCGGUGUAGCGGUGAAAUGCGCAGAUAUCGGGAAGAACACCCGUGGCGAAGGCGGCACUCUGGGACGGUACUGACGCUGAGGCGCGACAGCGUGGGGAGCAAACAGG